This 404-nucleotide ribosomal RNA is filed under the name uncultured Lactobacillus sp. RNAcentral describes it as "bacterial SSU rRNA". It matches the Rfam family "Bacterial small subunit ribosomal RNA", at positions 152 to 524 of the family's 1533-position model. Lineage: Bacteria; Bacillati; Bacillota; Bacilli; Lactobacillales; Lactobacillaceae. The record is from RNAcentral.
GGAAACAGAUGCUAAUACCGGAUAAAAGCUACUUUCGCAUGAAAGAAGGUUUAAAAAGGCGGCGUAAGCUGUCGCUAAAGGAUGGACCUGCGAUGCAUUAGCUAGUUGGUAAGGUAACGGCUUACCAAGGCGAUGAUGCAUAGCCCGAGUUGAGAGACUGAUCGGGCCACAUUGGGGACUGAGACACGGGGCCCAAAACUCCGUACGGGGGGAGGGGCAGCAGGGUAGGGGGAAUCUUCCACAAUGGACGAAAGUCUGAUGGAGCAACGCCGCGUGAGUGAAGAAGGUUUUCGGAUCGUAAAGCUCUGUUGUUGGUGAAGAAGGAUAGAGGUAGUAACUGGCCUUUAUUUGACGGUAAUCAACCAGAAAGUCACGGCUAACUACGUGCCAGCAGCCGCGGUAAU